UACGUAGGGUGCGAGCGUUGUCCGGAUUUAUUGGGCGUAAAGGGCUCGUAGGCGGGUUGCCGCGUCCGGGGUGAAAUCCUCCCGCUCAACGGGAGAACGGCCUCGGAUACGGGCGGCCUCGAGGGGGGUAGGGGCAUCUGGAACUGUGAGUGGAGCGGUGAAAUGCGUUGAUAUUCACAGGAACUCCGGUGGCGAAGGCGAGGUGCUGGACCCCAUCUGACGCUGAGGCGCGAAAGCCAGGGGAGCGAACGGG
This 253-nucleotide ribosomal RNA is filed under the name uncultured bacterium. RNAcentral's name for it is "partial 16S ribosomal RNA". It matches the Rfam family "Bacterial small subunit ribosomal RNA", at positions 524 to 776 of the family's 1533-position model. The record is from RNAcentral.